UACGUAGGGUGCGAGCGUUGUCCGGAAUUACUGGGCGUAAAGAGCUCGUAGGUGGUUUGUCGCGUUGUUCGUGAAAACUCACAGCUUAACUGUGGGCGUGCGGGCGAUACGGGCAGACUAGAGUGAUGUAGGGGAGACUGGAAUUCCUGGUGUAGCGGUGAAAUGCGCAGAUAUCAGGAGGAACACCGAUGGCGAAGGCAGGUCUCUGGGCAUUAACUGACGCUGAGGAGCGAAAGCAUGGGGAGCGAACAGG
Molecule: ribosomal RNA, 253 nt
Filed under: uncultured bacterium
Lineage: Bacteria
Description: partial 16S ribosomal RNA
Rfam family: Bacterial small subunit ribosomal RNA
Source: RNAcentral